UGCGCAGGCGGGCCAUUAAGUCAGGGGUGAAAGACGGUUGCUCAACAAUCGCAGUGCCUUUGAUACUGGUGGUCUUGGGUGACCUUGAGGUAGGCGGAAUGGGGGGUGUAGCGGUGAAAUGCAUAGAUACCCCCCAGAACUCCGAUUGCGAAGGCAGCCUACUGGAGGUUAACCGACGCUCAGGCACGAAAGCGUGGGAAUCAAACA
Molecule: ribosomal RNA, 207 nt
Filed under: uncultured bacterium
Lineage: Bacteria
Description: partial 16S ribosomal RNA
Rfam family: Bacterial small subunit ribosomal RNA
Source: RNAcentral